This is a long non-coding RNA of Octopus bimaculoides (California two-spot octopus), 988 nucleotides long. The record is from RefSeq and is a predicted model, not a curated record. NCBI's taxonomy places the organism in Eukaryota, Metazoa, Mollusca, Cephalopoda, Octopoda, Octopodidae.
UAUAAGACUCUUCAAGGCAUAAAAGGCACGUUCUAUUUGUAAUCCUAUAAGAGGUGGCAGAAGAAACAAUAUUCCAAGAAAUUUCUGUUGUCUCUUUUAAGCUGCCAUAUCUUAUGUAUGUAUGUAUGUAUACAUACGUGUAGGGAUCUAGCUUGAUCCUGCCUAAGAUUUGAAACCAAAUCUACUUGCUUGUUGCUUGUCAAAACGAGCGGGGAAUUCCUCUCCACACCAGAUGAUUGAGGAGGAAACACUCUACCCCCUAGGACCUGUGUUGGUCAAGGAAAGGUAUGACCAAAGAGCAACACGGCUCUCCUCGGCCGCAAGAAAGACGAUGCCUCCUCUAUCCUUUCUUGUCAGCACCGUGCAUUCCUUACUCUUUCACUCUCUACUGACAGACAACCCUUUUCCACACUACCAACUACUAACCAGCGAGCCAUCCUUAUUGUCACUAUCACUAGAAUUGCUACUGACUCGUUUACCUGUUGGGUAAACGAAUAAACAUAUACUAUUAUAACUAAUACGGAUUUGUCAACGUUGAUCUCGUUUUCUUGGGAAUUUACGGAUUUUACAUACACAAAUGAAGCAGUGAUUUCAGCAAGAGCUAUGAAUAAGAAAUAAUGUAGCCAACUGGAAGAUUAUAAUUGCUCUGAAUUACAACUGCCAGCUAUAAUCAACAUGAACAGAUUAGAAGUUGAUCCAAAUUUGAAUUGCAAUCACUUUUACUUUACACGCUUGUUUAGCCCUUGAACAUUCUGAAAGAAUGUUUGUGAAUGAAAUAGUAUCAUUUAGAAUCACUUCAACAAGCAAUAUGUUUGGCAUUAAUUUUAGGGACAUCACAAGAGGUUGCAUAAUAUGACCAAAGCCAUACAAAUGCAAAGCUGAAGAAUUUAAAUUUUAUAUUAUUAUCACAAGCAUAUAUUGUGAGCUAAUGAAGGUGCUUCUCCAUUUUUGCUUGAUCUGUUAAAAAUAGUAGCCAAAUCUCCUUUAA